Molecule: ribosomal RNA, 461 nt
Filed under: Chaetoceros sp. CHPCT2
Lineage: Eukaryota; Bacillariophyta; Thalassiosirophyceae; Chaetocerotales; Chaetocerotaceae
Description: LSU rRNA
Rfam family: Eukaryotic large subunit ribosomal RNA
Source: RNAcentral
AGGAUUCCCUCAGUAACGGCGAGUGAAGCGGGAAGUGCUCACCGUGUGAAUCUGUACAGCUCAAGCUGUGCCGAGUUGUGGUAUAUAGAAACAAUAUAUUUUAUGAGUUACGGGCUAAGUCCUUUGGAAAAAGGCAGCAGAGAGGGUGAGACUCCCGUUCUUGCCUGAAACUCUUUAUUGUAUUCAACGAGUCGAGUUGUUUGGGAUUGCAGCUCAAAGUGGGUGGUAAAUUCCAUCUAAAGCUAAAUAUUGGUGGGAGACCGAUAGCGAACAAGUACAGUGAUGGAAAGAUGAAAAGAACUUUGAAAAGAGAGUUAAAGAGUACCUGAAAUUGCUGAAAGGGAAGCGAAGGAAACCAGUGUUAUCCUUUCUCAUUCUUCUCCUGCUGCUUGCAACAGGAGCGCUGUGAGUUGGGAUAGGCCAGCCUGGGUUUGACUCGGUGGAAUCUGCACCGGCUUGGA